This is a long non-coding RNA of Xyrauchen texanus (razorback sucker), 476 nucleotides long. RefSeq lists it as uncharacterized. The transcript has 3 exons. The record is from RefSeq and is a predicted model, not a curated record. NCBI's taxonomy places the organism in Eukaryota, Metazoa, Chordata, Actinopteri, Cypriniformes, Catostomidae.
CUAGAACUUGAACUUGGCGAGCGCGUGCGCACCCGUGGGAAAAUUCUCAAGGCAAUAUUACGCGUGGCGCUAAAACCACCUGAGAUAAAGGAAAGCAAGAGUUCGGGCACACCAGCACUAUUGAGUGCCUUUUGGACCAUCUCUGGAAGUUCCAUUAGCUGGAAAUAGAAUAUCGCCCAGGUGCACUGCAAGCCCCCUCCUGUCCAGGGGAGUGUGAGAGCAUUAUUCGCCCACGAUGAGAAAGUUUUUCCCGCUCACGGUAUAUUGCAUCAGCCUGCUCUUCUCACAGUUGCUGGCUCUACCUGCUAGAAGCCCGCUUGGGAAGAAGAACAGGCUGGACUUCAUGACCAGACUCCAUCAGCUGAGAGAAGGAAUUACCAUCUCUUCAGAUGUUUCAGAGCAAUCAAACACUAACCAUGGCGUAAACCAUCGACCGCACCAUUUUGUGGAGGGCAAUCCUAUCCAAAUCACCACCU